Molecule: non-coding RNA, 342 nt
Organism: Dialister micraerophilus DSM 19965
Lineage: Bacteria; Bacillati; Bacillota; Negativicutes; Veillonellales; Veillonellaceae
Rfam family: transfer-messenger RNA
About the family: Bacterial tmRNA, also known as 10Sa RNA or SsrA, is named for its dual tRNA and mRNA-like properties. Its role is to liberate the mRNA from a stalled ribosome.
Source: Rfam
GGGGACGUACCGGCUUCGACAUGGAGUCUUUGUAUCAUAAAUAGCGAGUCGGGAUUCCAUCAACCCCGUAAAACGGUGGAAAAAUAUAAAAGCAAAACAAGAAUUUGCUUUAGCAGCUUAAUGCUAAUGUCUCACUAAAGUUUUCCUGUGGCUUUUUUGAGGCAUCAACUAACAGGAUACCGAUGUAUAAUGUUCAGUAGUACAGAGGGAAACAUAACUGAACUCGAUGAAAAUAGUUCGUUAUCGUACGAUUUUUCAUUUAAAUAAAAACGAUAACUGCACUCGGAGAAGUUUAUGGGGCAGGCUUUUUGGACAGGGGUUCGACUCCCCUCGUCUCCACCA